AGGAGCAGCUGCUCAAGUACUCGCCGGACCCGGUGGUGGUCCGCGGCUCCGGUCACGUCACCGUAUUUGGACUGAGCAACAAAUUUGAAUCAGAAUUCCCUUCUUCUUUAACUGGAAAAGUAGCUCCUGAAGAAUUUAAAGCCAGCAUCAACAGAGUUAACAGUUGUCUUAAGAAGAACCUUCCUGUUAAUACACGAAGAUCGAUUGAGAAGUUAUUAGAAUGGGAAAACAAUAGGUUAUACCACAAGCUGUGCUUGCACUGGAGACUGAGCAAAAGGAAAUGUGAAACGAAUAACAUGAUGGAAUAUGUAAGUUAAAGGGCUGUUUUGUGAGUUUCUCUAUUAAAUGAUCAUUUAUUUUGCUUCUGAUCUUAUUCUUUCCAUGAUUAUUAAUCAGCAAAGGUGUCAGGAGCUUAAUCUCCUGAGCGCAAGGAUUUUCUACGGUUCACAGAUGCAUGGUUUCAUGUGCAAGACUGAUUUAUAAAGUUAUGAAUGACUUGAAAACAAGGCUUCACUGUGUUCUGAAAAAUAAUAAAUUAAUUGCCAAGAUAAAAUAGCCUGAACAUGUGUUGAUGGAGUGUGAAAUUUUAGAUGCUGUAUAAAGAAUAACCACAACUUUGGUUACGCAGCAAGUCAGAUAUGGCUUUUUUAUAUAAUGCUAAUCAGGUUUCCAAGUAUGGAAGAAAACCUUUCAGCCAAGCCACUGGAGCUUAAGAAACCUUUAGCCUUUAUAGAUUUUAACUGCCCAUACCUCCGUGGCCUUUAGAGAAUCUUUCAAAGUGUUAUUGGAAUAUUAUUCUGUAAAAAGUAUCUUAAAAGUAAACGGGAGAUGAGAUGGUACUUAUCCUGUGUUUAUUCGUUAAGUUAUCUAAAUGAGCAUGUAUAUUCAAUGGAUUUUAGAAUGGGAUUUAAUUUGCUGACUACUUGAUUUACUUUAUUUUUCUCCUUUUGAAAAGUUCAGAAUGCUAUAGAAAAUUGUGACUCUUUAUUCUCCCUUGAGUUUGGGUGUUUCAUUUUAAAUAUGGAAAGGUUAUUAUAUUAAAAGAAAAAGAUCUGAGGAAGAGUUAAGUACCUGGAACAUCAUUUCUAACAAAUUUCAUCUAUUCUUUGAAACAGUAUAGCCAUCAUAAGUAGUAUAUAUGUAUGUGUAUAUAUAAAAGAUUGAUUAAAAGAGUGCUUAAAUAGUUGGAAAUUAUCAUACAAUCAUUUUUCUCUGUAGCAUUUUCUCUUUCAUUAUCACACAGUAAAAUCCCAUUUCUAGCCUUGAACAUAAAAGAUGUCUUAAAGAUGUCUCUUUUUUUUUUUUUUAUAGAAUAGCUCUAUUCAGUGAACCAAGUAAUGAAGAUUUUAUCAUUAUUACAUCAAACAUGUUAAUUUAUGAUGAUAAAAAGGCACUUGAUACCUCUUUAUAUAAUAAAAGCACAUUCACAUAACUUAUUUUGAGAUAGACCUCUGGAAAUGCUGGAUUUGAAUUUUCAUCAUAGAUGAUGAGAAAGAUUAUGUAUUUUGUGAGGAGGGAUGGAUAUCUAAGAGAUUUAAAGGCUUUUGUGAAAAAAUACUGACUAUAAACCCAAACACUAAGCUCAAAAUUGAGGCUUUUGUUUAUUUACUUAUUUUUUAUUUACUUAUUUUGCACAUUUCUAAAUUUACUUUGAAAAGGAGAACAACUUAUUCCCAAUUUCUAGAUAGAACUGGAAGAAUGUCAUUCAUUUAUAAAAUAUGCUCAUUAUAUUCAUGUUUAUUUUUUAUUAUUUGUUAUUCAUUUACAUAAUUUACUUCCAAAACAUUCUGAACUAUGUGCUCUGUGUAUAAAAUAGUUUCCUUUAAUUUAUCAUAAAUUUUUAGAUAAACACUUUUCCUAGGGCCAUUAUAUUUUUCACAUCAUCAUAGAAGAUAUCCAGAAGAGUAGCUUUAAAACAUUUGCUUUAAAAAUGUAUUUUUUCUAAAUUUUCACAGAGUGUAUAUAUAUGUGUGUGUGUGUGUGUGUGUGUGUGAGAGAGAGAGUUGAAUGAAGGGAAAACAUAAUUUUUAAAGCUUCCAAAAAUAAUUCUGAAAACUUAAGAUAGUAAAUGAUCUAUCAGAUAUAUAUAUAUAUUUGACCUAAACUUUUCUUUAACUUAGAGAAAUUUCCUUUGUUAAAGGGAAAUAAUUUUCCUCUAUUAUAUUUGAAAUAUUGGAGUCAAUCUAAGAACGUGCAAAUUUGUUACUAACUUUAUUUUUAUAUGUGGCUUCUAAAGAGAAAAGUUUGUAGGAUACACUCUUUAAAAACUAGUAAUGAUUCGAAUAUAAUCAAAGAUAGCUUUUAUUAUUCAUUAUAUAGUAUACACUAUAAAAUAUAAUUUAAUCAAAUUUUAGAGCUGCAAUGAGUCUUGUCAUCUAGUCCAACCCUCUUAUUUUAUAGAUGAGGAAACUGAGGAACAGGAGAAUCUAGCUCAAAUGAGGAAGCUGGAUCGGAAGCUAGUAAACAUUUUGUCGGCAAAUAACAGGUCAAAAGAGUGGCACAGGGGGCACCUGAUAGUAAAUCAACUAAGAAGGGAAUAUUUUUGAGCCAUGUGUAGAAAUACCUUCUUUAUUGAGAUAGAUCAAAGCCCAGGAAAACUGAAGAGUGAAAAUGAAGGUUUCUGACCCAGAUGACUAAAUGUGGAAGAGUAUCCAAACCUGGAGGUCAUAUCAAGACACCAGUUCUGAAAAAGAAUGAAGAGUUGGAAACUGUUCAAAUCAAAUAAUUUUUUUGUUUAGCAUCUAUUCCAUACAGAGUUUGAACAAAGGGAAGAAUCAAUUACAAUUUAGGAUAGUUUCAAGUUUGGAGUGAAAAUUAGUUCUGGUCAUCUAGUGUCAUUCUGUGUUACUAUGUUUUGUUUUUGUUGAUUUCCUGUAGUUUCCUAGUGAAAAGUUCUCUGCAACAAAUUUUAACCUUUAAUUUUGCUAACCCUAAGAAGAAUAGGAUAUUAAAAAAAAAAUUAAAGAGGUAAAGGACCAAUCAGUAGUCUUUGUCUAGAGAUCCCAUAUCCUGGUACUGUAAAAUGAGAGCAACUCUAGAACCCUAAAGACCCAUGGAAUGGGGCGUUAGAUAAAAUGAGAAAGCCUGAGGAACUGGGUCAGCUGCAGCUACAUAUGGCAGUAGAAAGAGCAGAGCUCUGGAGUUAAGCUAGACCUUUGUUCAAAUGCAAUCCAUGGUGUGACACUUCUUAGACCAUUGGUUUUCUCAUCUGUAAAAUGAGGAUGAUAGUGUUUGAAUCGUCGAAAGUUGUUGUGAUUAAAUAGAUCUAUGUAGAAUGAAACACUUGAUAGGUUAGGUAGUUCUCAGUAAAUGCUAGCUCCUUUUUUCAUUCAUGCAUGCGUGCAUUUUCCUGUUUGUCAGAGGCACUAUUAAAAUUGUUUGUAAGUGAUGGAAUGUAACUGAAGUUUUUCUGAGAUAAAAAUCUUUUAAAGUCUUUUUAAAACUUUUUUUUCUCCUCCUACAGGUCAUCCUCAUAGAAUUUUUACCAAAGACACCGAUUUUUCGACCAGAUUAGCAUUUGCUUUAUUUAUAGAGACUUUCCAAGUAUGUUGUCUUUCCAAUGGUGCCUUGCUUGGUGCUCUCCUGGUGGUGACAUAGCAUUGGUUCUACAGAAUCGUGUGGUGUUUUUUUGUUUUGUUUGUUUGUUUUGUUUUUUAAUAACCGCAUGUUCUAAGUGUGCAUUUUUGUCAAACUUUGCAACAGUUAUUUCAUACAGAUGUUUAAUACUUAAGUUAUUGUGCUCUUUUCUGUUAUGUAUUCUGAUUUUCAAGGAUUACUUUUUUGUAUUAUCAAAAAAAAAAUACAUUUGAACUUAGC
Molecule: long non-coding RNA, 3816 nt
Filed under: Sus scrofa (pig)
Lineage: Eukaryota; Metazoa; Chordata; Mammalia; Artiodactyla; Suidae
Description: lncRNA (ENSSSCG00005037363.1)
Source: RNAcentral